CCUACGGGAGGCAGCAGUAAGGAAUAUUGGUCAAUGGGCGGAAGCCUGAACCAGCCACGCCGCGUGCAGGAAGAAGGCCCUACGGGUUGUAAACUGCUUUUAUACGGGAAGAACCGCCCUCCUGCGGGGGGGUAUGACGGUACCGUAGGAAUAAGCAUCGGCUAACUCCGUGCCAGCAGCCGCGGUAAUACGGAGGAUGCAAGCGUUAUCCGGAUUCAUUGGGUUUAAAGGGUGCGUAGGUGGGUCCAUAAGUCAGUGGUGAAAUCCGGCAGCUCAACUGUCGCACUGCCUCUGAUACUGUGGGUCUUGAGUUAAGUUGAAGCAGGCGGAAUAUGACAUGUAGCGGUGAAAUGCAUAGAUAUGUCAUAGAACACCGAUAGCGAAGGCAGCCUGCUAAACUUACACUGACACUGAUGCACGAAAGCGUGGGUAGCGAACAGGAUUAGAUACCCUGGUAGUCCACGCCGUAAACGAUGAUCACUCGCUGCAUGCGAUAUAAUGUAUGUGGCCAAGCGAAAGCGUUAAGUGAUCCACCUGGGGAAUACGAUCGCAAGGUUGAAACUCAAAGGAAUUGACGG
RNAcentral lists this ribosomal RNA (578 nucleotides) under uncultured bacterium. RNAcentral's name for it is "bacterial SSU rRNA". It matches the Rfam family "Bacterial small subunit ribosomal RNA", at positions 338 to 916 of the family's 1533-position model. The record is from RNAcentral.